RNAcentral lists this ribosomal RNA (378 nucleotides) under uncultured eukaryote. RNAcentral's name for it is "partial 18S ribosomal RNA". It matches the Rfam family "Eukaryotic small subunit ribosomal RNA", at positions 592 to 976 of the family's 1831-position model. The record is from RNAcentral.
CAAUAGCGUAUAUUAAAGUUGUUGCGGUAAAAAAGCUCGUAGUUGGAUUUCUGUUGAGAGCGACCGGUCCAUACCAUGUAUGCGUAUCUGGCUUGCUCUCGGCAUCCUCUCGAUAGACGUUACUGCGCUUGAUUGCGUGGUGCGGAUCUCGGGACUUUUACUUUGAGGAAAUUAGAGUGUUCACGGCAGGCUUUCGCCAGAAUACAUUAGCAUGGAAUAAUACUAUAGGAUCUUGGUUCUAUUUUGUUGGUUUCUAGAAUUGAGAUAAUGAUUAAUAGGGACAAUUGGGGGCAUUCGUAUCAACACGUCAGAGGUGGAAUUCUUGGAUUGUGUUGCGACGAACUACUGCGAAAGCAUUGCCAAGGAUGUUUUCAUUGA